AACGCACAUUGCGCCCAUUAGUAUUCUAGUGGGCAUGCCUAUUCGAGCGUCAUUUCGACCAUUAAGCCCUGUAGCUUAGCGUUGGGAGCCUACGGUUGUAGCGUAGCUCCUCAAAGUCAGUGGCGGAGUUAUGGCGUACUCUGAGCGUAGUAAAUCUUUUCUCGCUUCUGUAGUCGCCCUAGCUGCCUGCCGUAAAACCCCCUAUAUUUCUAGUGGUUGACCUCGGAUUAGGUAGGAAUACCCGCUGAACUUAA
Molecule: unclassified non-coding RNA, 254 nt
Filed under: uncultured fungus
Lineage: Eukaryota; Fungi
Also listed under: 2 other names
Description: partial contains 5.8S ribosomal RNA, internal transcribed spacer 2, and large subunit ribosomal RNA
Source: RNAcentral